ACAGGUUAGGCUGGGCUGGGAGGUGACAGCAGUAGACAGGUUAGGCUGGGCUGGGAGGUGACAGCAGUAGACAGGUUAGGCUGGGCUGGGAGGUGACAGCAGUAGACAGGUUAGACAGGUUAGGCUGGGAGGUGACAGCUGUAGACAGGUUAUGCUGGGUUGGGAGGUGAUAACAGUAGACAGGUUAGACAGGUUGGGCUGGGCUGGGAGGUGACAGCAGUAGGCAGGUUAUGCUGGGUUGGGAGGUGAUAACAGUAGACAGGUUAGACAGGUUGGGCUGGGCUGGGAGGUGACAGCAGUAGGCAGGUUAUGCUGGGUUGGGAGGUGACAGCAGUAGACACGUUGGGUUAGGAGGUGACAGCAGUAGACAGGUUAUGCUGGGUUAGGAGGUGACAGCAGUAGACACGUUGGGUUAGGAGGUGACAGCAGUAGACAGGUUAUGUUGGGUUGGGAGGUGACAGCAGUAGACAGGUUGGGUUAGGAAGUGACAGCAGUAGACAGGUUAUGCUGGGUUGGGAGGUGACAGCAGUAGACAGGUUAUGCUGGGUUAGGAGGUGACAGCAGUAGACACAUUGGGGUAGGAGGUGACAGCAGUAGACAGGUUGGGUUGGGAGGUGACAGCAGUAGACAGGUUGGGUUGGGAGGUGAUAACAGUAGACAAGUUAUGCUGGGUUAGGAGGUGACAGCAGUAGACAGGUUGGGUUGGGAGGUGACAGCAGUAGACAGGUUGGGUUGGGAGGUGAUAACAGUAGACCAGUUAUGCUGGGUUAGGAGGUGACAGCAGUAGACAGGCUGGGUUGGGAGGUGAUAGCAGUAGACAGGUUAUGCUGGGUUAGGAAGUGACAGCAGUAGACAGGCUGGGUUGGGAGGUGAUAGCAGUAGACAGGUUAUGCUGGGUUAGGAGGUGACAGCAGUAGACGGGUUAUGUUGGGUUAGGAGGUGACAGCAGUAGACAGGUUGGGUUAGGAGGUGACAACAGUAGACAGGUUAUGCUGGGUUAGGAGGUGACAGCAGUAGACAGGUUAUGCUGGGUUAGGAGGUGACAGCAGUAGACAGGUUAUGCUGGGUUGGGAGGUGACAGCAGUAGACAGGUUAGGCUGGGUUAGGAGGUGACAGCAGUAGACAGGUUAUGCUGGGUUGGGAGGUGACAGCAGUAGACAGGUUAUGCUGGGUUAGGAGGUGACAGCAGUAGACAGGUUAUGCUGGGUUAGGAGGUGACAGCAGUAGACAUGUUAUGCUGGGUUAGGAGGUGACAGCAGUAGACAGGUUAUGCUGGGUUGGGAGGUGACAGCAGUA
Non-coding RNA from Oncorhynchus mykiss (rainbow trout), 1296 nucleotides. Lineage: Eukaryota; Metazoa; Chordata; Actinopteri; Salmoniformes; Salmonidae. The record is from RefSeq and is a predicted model, not a curated record.